RNAcentral lists this ribosomal RNA (234 nucleotides) under uncultured eukaryote. RNAcentral's name for it is "partial 18S ribosomal RNA". The stretch from base 1 to 144 matches the Rfam family "Eukaryotic small subunit ribosomal RNA", at positions 1299 to 1461 of the family's 1831-position model. The record is from RNAcentral.
UGGUGGAGUGAUUUGUCUGGUUAAUUCCGUUAACGAACGAGACCCCUGCCUGCUAAAUAGUUCGGCGAGUGAAUUUCACUGGCUAGAGCUUCUUAGAGGGACGUGCGUUCUAUUAGACGCAGGAAGAUAGGGGCAAUAACAGGUAAGCUUGAAGUGGAAACCAUUGAAAAUCAUUCAUCCCACCGGCAGGCAACUCGACCUCAUUAACGUGCUCUAACACUUCUCUAUGGUUAA